UAAGGGCGCACGGUGGAUGCCUUGGCACUAGAAGCCGAUGAAGGACGUUACUAACGACGAUAUGCUUUGGGGAGCUGUAAGUAAGCUUUGAUCCAGAGAUUUCCGAAUGGGGAAACCCAGCAUGAGUUAUGUCAUGUUAUCGAUAUGUGAAUACAUAGCAUAUCAGAAGGCACACCCGGAGAACUGAAACAUCUUAGUACCCGGAGGAAGAGAAAGAAAAUUCGAUUCCCUUAGUAGCGGCGAGCGAAACGGGAAGAGCCCAAACCAACAAGCUUGCUUGUUGGGGUUGUAGGACACUCUAUACGGAGUUACAAAGGACGACAUUAGACGAAUCAUCUGGAAAGAUGAAUCAAAGAAGGUAAUAAUCCUGUAGUCGAAAAUGUUGUCUCUCUUGAGUGGAUCCUGAGUACGACGGAGCACGUGAAAUUCCGUCGGAAUCUGGGAGGACCAUCUCCUAAGGCUAAAUACUCUCUAGUGACCGAUAGUGAACCAGUACCGUGAGGGAAAGGUGAAAAGCACCCCGGAAGGGGAGUGAAAUAGAACCUGAAACCGUGUGCUUACAAGUAGUCAGAGCCCGUUAAUGGGUGAUGGCGUGCCUUUUGUAGAAUGAACCGGCGAGUUACG
This 624-nucleotide ribosomal RNA is filed under the name Staphylococcus aureus. RNAcentral's name for it is "partial 23S ribosomal RNA". It matches the Rfam family "Bacterial large subunit ribosomal RNA", at positions 12 to 632 of the family's 2925-position model. Lineage: Bacteria; Bacillati; Bacillota; Bacilli; Caryophanales; Staphylococcaceae. The record is from RNAcentral.